RNAcentral lists this ribosomal RNA (530 nucleotides) under Micromonospora chalcea. RNAcentral describes it as "bacterial SSU rRNA". It matches the Rfam family "Bacterial small subunit ribosomal RNA", at positions 31 to 579 of the family's 1533-position model. The record is from RNAcentral. Lineage: Bacteria; Bacillati; Actinomycetota; Actinomycetes; Micromonosporales; Micromonosporaceae.
GAACGCUGGCGGCGUGCUUAACACAUGCAAGUCGAGCGGAAAGGCCCUUCGGGGUACUCGAGCGGCGAACGGGUGAGUAACACGUGAGCAACCUGCCCCAGGCUUUGGGAUAACCCCGGGAAACCGGGGCUAAUACCGGAUAUGACCUUGCACCGCAUGGUGUUUGGUGGAAAGUUUUUCGGCUUGGGAUGGGCUCGCGGCCUAUCAGCUUGUUGGUGGGGUGAUGGCCUACCAAGGCGACGACGGGUAGCCGGCCUGAGAGGGCGACCGGCCACACUGGGACUGAGACACGGCCCAGACUCCUACGGGAGGCAGCAGUGGGGAAUAUUGCACAAUGGGCGGAAGCCUGAUGCAGCGACGCCGCGUGAGGGAUGACGGCCUUCGGGUUGUAAACCUCUUUCAGCAGGGACGAAGCGUAAGUGACGGUACCUGCAGAAGAAGCGCCGGCCAACUACGUGCCAGCAGCCGCGGUAAGACGUAGGGCGCGAGCGUUGUCCGGAUUUAUUGGGCGUAAAGAGCUCGUAGGCGGC